This 468-nucleotide ribosomal RNA is filed under the name uncultured bacterium. RNAcentral's name for it is "partial 16S ribosomal RNA". It matches the Rfam family "Bacterial small subunit ribosomal RNA", at positions 28 to 507 of the family's 1533-position model. The record is from RNAcentral.
GAUGAACGCUGGCGGCGUGCUUAACACAUGCAAGUCGAACGGUGAAGGCGGAGCUUGCUCUGCUGGAUCAGUGGCGAACGGGUGAGUAACACGUGAGCAAUCUGCCCCUGACUCUGGGAUAAGCGCUGGAAACGGCGUCUAAUACUGGAUACGAGCUGCGAAGGCAUCUUCAGCAGCUGGAAAGAACUUCGGUCAGGGAUGAGCUCGCGGCCUAUCAGCUUGUUGGUGAGGUAACGGCUCACCAAGGCGUCGACGGGUAGCCGGCCUGAGAGGGUGACCGGCCACACUGGGACUGAGACACGGCCCAGACUCCUACGGGAGGCAGCAGUGGGGAAUAUUGCACAAUGGGCGAAAGUCUGAUGCAGCAACGCCGCGUGAGGGACGACGGCCUUCGGGUUGUAAACCUCUUUUAGCAGGGAAGAAGCGAAAGUGACGGUACCUGCAGAAAAAGCGCCGGCUAACUACGUG